AACCUUGAUUCCUCUAAAAAAAAAUACUUCUACAUGCAUCCAAAAUAAAAAACAUUGAUAUUUCUUAAACACAUUAUAGUAUCUUAGUCAUAAAAAAAUUUCCAUCCACCGUACAUUAGAGUCUACAUGUCCUAAACUCUCCCAUUCUUCUCCAAUUACGAUUCCUUUAAAAUCAUGCUCCACACACAUCUAACAUAAAUCCAUUCCUUGAAUGUCCAAAAUAAAUAUUGCACAUUCCUUCCACAAAAAUAUUUUCUCAUGCAUCUAAAAGAAAAAAUGUGC
This 282-nucleotide long non-coding RNA is filed under the name Elaeis guineensis (African oil palm). Its description in RNAcentral is "long non-coding RNA (EGUI_LNC042322)". Lineage: Eukaryota; Viridiplantae; Streptophyta; Magnoliopsida; Arecales; Arecaceae. The record is from RNAcentral.